RNAcentral lists this long non-coding RNA (897 nucleotides) under Anas platyrhynchos (mallard). Its description in RNAcentral is "lncRNA (ENSAPLG00020016003.1)". The record is from RNAcentral. Lineage: Eukaryota; Metazoa; Chordata; Aves; Anseriformes; Anatidae.
CAACAAUUAUGACUAAGCGUAUCUUUUUUUAUUUUUUUUUGACAGGGUCCAAGAGGCUCAAGAGGUCCAAGAGGUCCAACUGGCAAACCAGGUCCAAAGGUAAUUGUCAGACACACAAUGUAAGUCAGCUGCAGGCCGUUUCUUUUAAAUAAAAUAGAGGUUUAACCUUUGAACGUACUGUUUUUUUCUUUCUAGGGUACUGCAGGCAAUGACGGUCCUCCUGGCCCACCAGGUGAAAGGGGACCACAAGGGCCUCAGGGACCUGUUGGAUUUCCUGGACCAAAAGGACCUCCAGGGCCACCUGGAAAAGAUGGCUUGCCUGGGCAUCCAGGACAGCGGGGUGAAACUGUAAGUAAAUGAACUCUACUGUGCUAGUGUUGCAAACCUCUUAAGGCCAUUAUAAUGUGACCAAAACUAAAGAAACAGAGAUAACAGAGAAAAGGGAAGAGGCUGGGACUAGAAGAUAACUGUGGUUUUCUUUGUAGGUUUAGUAGUUUAGGCGUAAGAAAGCUUUAUUUUGUUUCCAUACUACAAAAGUGAUAUUAUUCUUUGCUCUGCUCAGUUAGUAACAUCACAGUGUGCUUAACUAGUCAAUAGAAGUAGAAAAAUUAAUACUCAGAUCUCAAAUUUAGUUAAGAUUUGUCAGGCAACUACUAUAUCAUCUUUGAUCACUAUAUCAUCUUUUCUGAUUGAAUGUCAUGUAACAUGGCAUAAUAAAGAAUUACUACUUAACACUAAACAGAUAGGAAACUCAAAAGUCAGCAGCUUUGGAAAGUGCUAUCAGGAAUGAUUCAACCUGUGAAAAAAAGAGCCCAAUUAUGAAACUGUAUUCUAUGCAAUUCCCCUAAAAAUCCUCAUAAGUACAUCUUGGAAGCAAAAUUUGAAAAGUAACACACA